AGGAGACCGCGGACGGCCGACGGUGAUCCUUCGGGAUUGCUGAGGAACGUCCCCCCUCCCCAGGAACGGUGGCCCCGUGCAAGCGGGGGGUCCGAGAGGGCCGGCAAGGGCGCAGAAACGACACAGCCCGCGUCGAGGAUGAUCCGCUCGGCGGUGACGUUGACGUGGGAUCUGGUGAGACGGCGACACCCCACCGGAGCAAGUCCAAGCAGGCGCAAUGCGCCAGGU
This 228-nucleotide RNase P RNA is filed under the name Methanobacteriota archaeon. RNAcentral describes it as "Euryarchaeota archaeon partial RNase P RNA component". It matches the Rfam family "Archaeal RNase P", at positions 1 to 234 of the family's 288-position model. Rfam says of the family: Ribonuclease P (RNase P) is a ubiquitous endoribonuclease, found in archaea, bacteria and eukarya as well as chloroplasts and mitochondria. Its best characterised activity is the generation of mature 5'-ends of tRNAs by cleaving the 5'-leader elements of precursor-tRNAs. The record is from RNAcentral. Lineage: Archaea; Methanobacteriati; Methanobacteriota.